AGAAAUAUUCUUGUUAUGUGUGAUGCUUACACCCCAGCAGGAGACCCGAUUCCACCAACAAGAGAUAUAAUGCUGCAAAGAUUGUCAGCCAGCCUGAUGUUGCUGUUGAAGAACCCUGGUAUGGAAUAGAGCAAGAUUACACCCUUUUGCAAAAGGAUGUUAAGUGGCCUGUGGGAGGUUUUCCUGGCCCUCAGGUAAUACGUUAUGCCAGGUUAAGCUUCAGUACCAUUGACUUGUGUUUUUAUUAUUGUUUUUGGGUUCUAAACCUCUAUUGGGUUUGUUCAAUUAUGUUUCUAUAGCCUAGGUCUUGGGGGUUUUUUUUUUGGGGGGGGGGGGGGUGG
Molecule: long non-coding RNA, 341 nt
Organism: Telopea speciosissima
Lineage: Eukaryota; Viridiplantae; Streptophyta; Magnoliopsida; Proteales; Proteaceae
Exons: 3
Source: RefSeq, a predicted model, not a curated record